Otolemur garnettii (small-eared galago) is the source of this 285-nucleotide non-coding RNA. The record is from Rfam. Lineage: Eukaryota; Metazoa; Chordata; Mammalia; Primates; Galagidae.
GCCAUAUGCACUGAAGCAUGCUUAUAGACCCAGCUACUCUGGAGGCUGAGGCAGGAGGAUUGCUUGAGCCCAGGAGUUCUGGGAUGUAGUGUGCUGUGCCCAUCAGGUGUCCUCACUAAGUCUGACAUCAUUAUGGUGACCUCCCACGAGUGGAGGGACUACCUUCUUGUCUAACUGGCUCAGGUCAGAAAUGGAGCAGGUCAAAACUACUGAUAAGUAGUGGGAUCACACCUGUGAAUAGCCCCUGCACUCCAGCCUGGGCAACACAGUGAGACCCCGUCUCUA